Molecule: ribosomal RNA, 492 nt
Filed under: uncultured bacterium
Lineage: Bacteria
Description: partial 16S ribosomal RNA
Rfam family: Bacterial small subunit ribosomal RNA
Source: RNAcentral
AGUGAACGCUGGCGGUAGGCCUAACACAUGCAAGUCGAACGGCAGCACAGUAAGAGCUUGCUCUUACGGGUGGCGAGUGGCGGACGGGUGAGGAAUACAUCGGAAUCUACUUUUUCGUGGGGGAUAACGUAGGGAAACUUACGCUAAUACCGCAUACGACCUACGGGUGAAAGCAGGGGAUCUUCGGACCUUGCGCGAUUGAAUGAGCCGAUGUCGGAUUAGCUAGUUGGCGGGGUAAAGGCCCACCAAGGCGACGAUCCGUAGCUGGUCUGAGAGGAUGAUCGGCGACACUGGAACGGAGACACGGUCCAGACGCCUACGGGAGGCAGCAGUGGGGAAUAUUGGACAAUGGGCGCAAGCCUGAUCCAGCCAUACCGAGUGGGUGAAGAAGGCCUUCGGGUUGUAAAGCCCUUUUGUUGGGAAAGAAAAGCAGCAGGUUAAUACCCCGCUGUUCUGACGGUACCCAAAGAAUAAGCACCGGCUAACUUCGUG